UUACGGCCACAUCAUGUUGAAACACCGGUUUCGGUACGAUCACCGAAGUUAAGCAACGUCGAGUCUGGUCAGUACAUAUAUGAGUAACCGCAUAAGAAUUCCAGGUGUUGGA
This is a non-coding RNA of Acanthosepion pharaonis, 112 nucleotides long. Lineage: Eukaryota; Metazoa; Mollusca; Cephalopoda; Sepiida; Sepiidae. The record is from the annotation of a GenBank genome assembly.